This 253-nucleotide ribosomal RNA is filed under the name uncultured bacterium. RNAcentral describes it as "partial 16S ribosomal RNA". It matches the Rfam family "Bacterial small subunit ribosomal RNA", at positions 524 to 776 of the family's 1533-position model. The record is from RNAcentral.
UACAGAGGUCCCAAGCGUUGUUCGGAUUCACUGGGCGUAAAGGGUGCGUAGGUGGUCGGGUACAGUCCGAUGUGAAAUCUCCAGGCUCAACCUGGAAAUGGCAUUGGAUACUAUCUGGCUUGAGGAGUGGAGGGGGGACUGGAAUUCUCGGUGUAGCAGUGAAAUGCGCAGAUAUCAGGAGGAACACCGGUGGCGAAGGCGGGUCUCUGGGCCGAUACUGACGUGAGGAGCGAAAGCGUGGGGAGCGAACAGG